AUGUCUGGGACAGCUGCUACCUUGCUUGAUUUUUCCAGUGCAGAGUCUGGAGUCUCCUCGCCCUUAAGCAAAAGCGAUGUCUGCGUCUGCUGCUUUUCACUUGGCAGACUGCCAAGUGAUAUUCCCACCCUGAUCUGCAGGAUGGCUUCCAGCACUCAACAGAUGAUCCAGCAGAGAACUGGUGCCUAUCAGCUUUCCAUCAGAUGCACAGAUCAUACUGAGCUGCAUUUGCAGAAGUCAAUUUUGAUGCUCAGCAUUUGGCUUACAUGGGAGGCGAAGACCAAGAAAGCGAGCAGUGGAGCAUGAUGUCCACUUAAGAUGGAGUUUGCUCAGUAGACUACGAAGUCCGAGGAGCUGACUGUUUCAAAACCAUAGAAAAAAGAGGGAAGGGACCAGGAGCAGGUACAGCUCCCUUCGUGCACCUCCCUGGCUGCUCCGGAGGCCCGGUGUUGACACCGUGGUUUGAAAUAAGCUGGAUCGGGUGUCUGGUCAUGCUCCGUGGCCCUCAGCACCAUCUGUGCUAGGAGACACGGGAAUAAUGGAGCGAUCUGAAAACUGCGACGAGGGGAAGCCCUGACGCCAGGGUGCUGGGUUUUUAAGCAAAAAAUGGAAGCCUACAUGUGAAAAGAUUGCUGUGGCCCCGACUCCAAGGUUUUUAAGCAAAAAAAUGGAAGACUAUGUGUGAAAGGAUUGCUGUGUCAAUAUGCUUGCAUACGUGAGUUUAUUACUUCGGUGCUUACAUACGUUAACCUACUACACAUGCUAUGAGUUGCUUUGGCCUACUAAUUUCUAUCCAUUUUAAGCAACUUUAAUUUCCACCGUGAUGGGAAGCUCGGUGAAAUCACAGCUAUAACAGGCGUCUUUCAGAGCGCUGAGUCAGUGCUGGGUUUCCCAUCUGUUUCACGGCGCACUGAGGCUGCAGCACAUGGCCAGCCCUCCGGUGCUUGCAGCAGGUGUUCGGUCCGGUGGGCCCUGCCCAGAGCUGCUGGUUUCUGACCUGCUCUGCUGCGCUCCUCCCCGUGCACGUACCCGGAGAAUACAGGGGGGAGACGCACUGAGUGUGUUUUUUUACGGAACGCGCUGCGUACGCUGCGCUCAGCGAGUGGGGACGGCUGCCGUCUCACCUCUGUGGGGGCCCGGGGGUGGUUUUCUGAAAACUUGUGAGGUGUUUUUAGACGCAAAAGGGCCGUGAACGCACGCGGCGCUGAGGCACGCUCCGUGUGCCC
RNAcentral lists this long non-coding RNA (1226 nucleotides) under Anser brachyrhynchus (Pink-footed goose). RNAcentral describes it as "lncRNA (ENSABRG00000000201.1)". Lineage: Eukaryota; Metazoa; Chordata; Aves; Anseriformes; Anatidae. The record is from RNAcentral.